This 72-nucleotide transfer RNA is filed under the name Camelus bactrianus (Bactrian camel). It matches the Rfam family "tRNA". Rfam says of the family: Transfer RNA (tRNA) molecules are approximately 80 nucleotides in length. Their secondary structure includes four short double-helical elements and three loops (D, anti-codon, and T loops). Further hydrogen bonds mediate the characteristic L-shaped molecular structure. tRNAs have two regions of fundamental functional importance: the anti-codon, which is responsible for specific mRNA codon recognition, and the 3' end, to which the tRNAs corresponding amino acid is attached (by aminoacyl-tRNA synthetases). tRNAs cope with the degeneracy of the genetic code in two manners: having more than one tRNA (with a specific anti-codon) for a particular amino acid; and 'wobble' base-pairing, i.e. permitting non-standard base-pairing at the 3rd anti-codon position. The record is from Rfam by way of RNAcentral. Lineage: Eukaryota; Metazoa; Chordata; Mammalia; Artiodactyla; Camelidae. RNAcentral also lists the same sequence under 1 other name.
GAAGGUAUAGCUCAGGGGUAGAGCACACGCUUAACGUGCAGGAGGUCCUGAGUUCAAACCCCAGUACCUCCA